This 502-nucleotide ribosomal RNA is filed under the name uncultured Glomeromycotina. RNAcentral describes it as "partial small subunit ribosomal RNA". It matches the Rfam family "Eukaryotic small subunit ribosomal RNA", at positions 591 to 1092 of the family's 1831-position model. Lineage: Eukaryota; Fungi; Glomeromycota. The record is from RNAcentral.
CCACUAGCGUAUAUUAAAGUUGUUGCAGUUAAAAAGCUCGUAGUUGAACUUCGGGGUCUACCCAUUGGUCAGGCUUAAUUGUCUGCACUGGUGAGAUGGAUCUCUACCUUCUGAGGAACUUUCAUGCCAUUUAUUUGGUGUGAUGGGAAAUCAGGACUGUUACUUUGAAAAAAUUAGAGUGUUUAAAGCAGACUAUCGUCUGAAUACAUUAGCAUGGAAUAAUGAAAUAGGACGGACUGAUUCUAUUUCGUUGGUUUCUAGGAUCACCGUAAUGAUUAAUAGGGAUAGUUGGGGGCAUUAGUAUUCAAUUGUCAGAGGUGAAAUUCUUGGAUUUAUUGAAGACUAACUACUGCGAAAGCAUUUGCCAAGGAUGUUUUCAUUAAUCAAGAACGAAAGUUAGGGGAUCGAAGACGAUCAGAUACCGUCGUAGUCUUAACCAUAAACUAUGCCGACUAGGGAUCGGACGAAGUUAAUUUUAUAAUGACGCGUUCGGCACCUUACG